UUUUUUUUUUUUUUUUUUUUGUCUUUUUGUCUUUUUGUCUUUUUUUGUUGUUGUUGUUGCUAUUUCUUGGGCCGCUCCCGCGGCAUAUGGAGGUUCCCAGGCUAGGGGUCGAAUCGGAGCUGUAGCCACCGGCCUAUGCCAGAGCCACAGCACGCGGGAUCCGAGCCACGUCUGCAACCUACACCACAGCUCACGGCAACGCCGGAUCGUUAACCCACUGAGCAAGGGCAGGGACCGAACCCGAAACCUCAUGGUUCCUAGUCGGAUUCGUUAACCACUGCGCCACGACGGGAACUCCCCUCCAUCAAUCUUACACAGUCAACAUGAAGAACACUUUUUUGAAAGUAACUUGGCUUGUUAAUAUAAAGGUAUGACCUGCAUUCCAGUUCCUUUUAGCAACAUAUGAUAUACACUAACUAGUUAACAGUUUAUGAAUCACCAUCAAGUGAGACAGUAAAGAAACAAAAAUCACGUGUUAAUCAUAAAGCGCAUCCACAUGUAUGAGCAGUAAGGGUGGGAAAAUGACAACGAAACCUUAAAGGAAAAACCAGUUGAAUAUGACUAUGUUCUGAGCUUCAGUUUUUGCUCUCUCAAACUAAUAAUAACAAUGAUAAUAAAUGCAUUUAGAAUAAGCAUGUAAGUCAAAUACUAAGGUGAAGAAAAAUUUCUAUCGCUACCAAUGAAAACUUUGGAUACAAACCAUAAAUCAUUUCCCAAGCAAACCCAUUCAUGACUUAAGAUGUUAUUUCACCUAAGGACAAGUACAGCUGGUGUCUCCCUCUUCUCCAGUGAGAUUUCUUAGUCAGAAAUAUUCGGAGGAAACAGAGAUCCAAAACACAACAGGAAGAAAACAUCAUCGUUUCCUUCCAAACCAGUGAUCUAAAUCAGAAAACAACAUUCACAGAACUGAAGGGAUCUACAUUUGCCAUCAUUUCCAAGAAGAAAACAAAAGUAUCCAUUGUGCUCUCAUCUUUCGAGUAAAAAGUGUACAUUUUUCUAAAGAGUCAAGACAGAGAUAAGCAAGCCGGAGAGUAAAGGGUCAGGAGAAUUCAGACCACAAUUCCUUACAGGUUUCAUUUUUUGCUGCAGUUCUGUCUAUGCAAACAGAGGUCAAAACUGAUCAACUUCAGCUAACUCUGAGCACCAAGAAGAGGUAAUUUACAAAGGGAAAUCUUGGUAUGUGCUAGAAUAACGCCACUGACAAAAAAGUAUACAUCAAAAGCAAACUCUAUGCCAAAAGUAGAUGUUACAUCUUCAUAUAAUAAAAGCAGACAGUAGUGUCUUUGUUCUUACCUCUAAUUGUCCUCAAGGUUCAUGAAAAACAAGCCAUCACUCCUGCCGGAAAGCGUCUGCUGGGCUAGCGCAGAAGUCACACAGCUGGAAAUAUACCUCCAGGACCCCUGAGCUCCUGGCCUUGUCCUCCUUCCCCCUGUUGAAGCACUGCUGUUCACACCUCUGCUGAUCGUUGGGGACCACUAGCAAGUUUUAUCACAACUGAGGGAAAAGGACCCGGGCUUGCUACUUAUACCGAUGAUUCACUCCAAUGACAGCUAGAAAGAAAUGCUUGUUGGUGCAAAAGGAGUUGACUGAACUCCACCCCUACGGUAAGGAUUAAGUAACUCCACCCAGCUUAGCGAUUAUCUUAAACAGCCUCACAGUGCCCUAACGUGAAGUUACCUGCAGCAUUGCUUCUCCACAGGGCAGCUCUUGUUCGUAAGGAGAAGAACCCAGGGCUCACCAAACAGGAUGGGCAAUAACCAGUGUGUACCACGUGGUUUUGUGAAUAACUGUAACCUGGGCUGGGCUGUUUGCUUAUUUAAAGCUAUAUCUGAGUCUUCCGGGCAAAUAGGCAGUGGAGGUCUGUCCUUCACCUUUUACAAUGAACUUAGCUUCUCUCCAGUUCCUGUGUGGCAGGCUGACAGCACCAAGUGCGGGCCCCCUCAAGAGUUGAAAGUCUUCAAAGGAUAGAAUAAAAGUAACUAUGAUACAAACUACACCACCAAAGAGAACUGACAAGUUGGGGGGAUUUGGUGCCACCGGAGAGGCCACUCUACAAACCCACCAUCUCUGGGGUGCAAGCCCAUUUUUCUUGGAUAUAGGUCAAGGACACCAAAUGAGGUCAGCAGGGCUCACGUGGAUACUCUAUAGCACCAUGUCCUGUUUAAGGGGUGCAGUUCACCCACCUGUCCAACCUUCACUGAGUUCCCAAGGCCAUUGAAGACCCGUCCUCUUUCUUUGACUUGUGACCAACACCAAGUUACACCUCUUUGCUCUUGCAAAGUCAACCCCCACUUGACAACCCCAGCAGGUGUGCCUGCAACAGGAAGUGCUCCCACUUGUAGCCGAGAGCUAACCUUCCACAUUAACUCAAGUGUUCCCGGCACGUCAGCUGAGAAACUGUAAACUAGACUUUCAAGUUCCCACAGGUGCUAGAAGCCUGGGAUUCCCAGAGGUGUUGGACAACAAAACAGGUCCCCAGGGGAGCCAGUGACCUCUAGUGGCUGGGAGGAUCACUGACGGCUUGCCAGAUAAAGUCCCCACUGGAUUACCACCAGGAACCCUGUCCCCAAAGGCACCCUCAUACAGGCAGGCUGACAGGUCCACCCACUUUCUGUAGACUUUUCGAACAACAAAAGGAAUACCCUGAGGUUUUAGUACUGAGCAAGUGAGGACACACAAGUGCUAAACAGUAUAAUUUAAGAGCAGGAACUCCACUUUCCUUGACUGUAUCUGAAAUUAUAAAAUUAAGCUGUUUUACAUUAACACAAUGACUGGAAGCUUAAAAAAAAAAGAACCAAAAAAUACUUACUAUAAGAAAAUAUACCUAAAUAAGUGGAAUAAGUUAUUUAACAAAUUUGCCUGUUGCCUUAAAGAUAAAAGGCACCAUGAAAUAUUACCCAACUAUUAUGGGCUCAAUCAUUUCUCUCCACCAAUCUUAUAUUGAAGUCCCAACCCUAGUAGCUCAGAAUGUGAUGAUGUUGGGAGACAGAGGCUUUAAAGAGAUAACUGAGCUAAAAUGAGGUCUUUAGCAUGGGCCCUGAUCCAGUGUGACUGAUAUCCUUUAAGAGAAAAUUCAAACAGACAGGUAUGUCAGAAAGACAAGGAACAGGGACAAGGAGGAGACAAGAUGGCCUUCUGCUAGCCAAGGAGACAGACCUCAGAGGAAACCAGCCCUGCUGACACCUUGAUCUCAGCCUUUCAGCCUCCAGAACUGUGAAACAAUGCAUUUCUAUUGUUUAAGCUGCUCAGUCUCUGGCACUUUGUUAUGGCAGCCCAAGCAAACUUAUAUAUUAAUAAUGAUUGCAUUCCAAGUAUUAAUGCCAACAAUGAAGACAGAAUUCAGAUUUCUAAUUAAUAACCAUUCUCCCACAGCCAACACUUCCUUUUGGUAUUUUAUUUCCUCCCGGUCCAUUGAGGCUCUGCCUUGAAAAAUGCUUAGAAAAACUUAUUCUGGAAGAAAGUGGGAGUGGGGGGGCAGAGACCACAAAUGACCUUUCCAACUCCACUUUCGGCACCUCCACUGACAGUCAAGCUUACUGACCAAGUAGUCUCCAUUUGCAUCUUACUCCUCCAAGUGAAAAUCAGCUUCUGUCCAACCUCCACGAAAAAUGCAGCCAAACCUAGCGAAUAAGAACCUUAGCACCAAUUUAAGAAAUGUUAACAAUGGAGGAAAUACAAUGGAGGAAAUGUUAGAAGUCUUUUUAGUUCGAGUCCCUCUGUCUAGAGAAGGAAAUGAGGACCCAACCAGAGCAGCAGCAGGAUCUUGGAAUAAACAGUGAAGUGGAUUCAACCCAGACACACAGUCCUAAUCCAGUGUUACUAGCUCUGCUCACUACACUAUUAACUGAGGAUAUCCUGAAGCAAUCAAAUCUCUCCAAUCCCACGAAGAAAAAUUGCUGCUCCAUGGAGCAGCUGUAAUGAAGAGAGAUGAGGAUGCAGACACUGGAUGACAAAUGGAGUAUGGCCCAGGUCUCAGACUAGGUCUACAGGCUUUCUUAACCUGGGCUCCACUGACAUCUGGGGCCAGGUAAUUCUCCAUCGCGGGAAGAUGUUCAGUGCAUUUUAGGAUGUUUAAACAGCAUUGCUGGCCUCUACCCACUAGACAGAAGCUCUCCCCAGGUAUGACAGCUAAGAAUAUCUCCAGACAUGGCUGUGUCCCCUGGGAGGCAAACUCGUCCCCAGCUGAGAACCACUGGUUUAAAAGGACGAAACUCUGGGCAGAGUGAAAGAGAUGGUGGUGAGGGGGUGUGCACCUGAGAUCAACCAGAAGAAAGUGCUCUGUAGAUAUGUCAGGAGCAAGGCAGAAGGAAGGGCAAUUUGUUGCAUUUCCCCAACUGAGGGUUGUUUUUAUGUGUUUUAUUAUUUAUUUUUAUUUAUUUAUUUUAUUUAUUAUUUAUUUUUUUCCAAUGAAGUAGAAGACAGGGUCACAGGCUGAAUGUGAGGGAAUGAGAGACUGAGUCAGGAACACCUCUGGGAUUUACCAGAGAGCAGAAAGGGAGCAGGGCUGGGCUGUGUCAAGGAUAUCUGUGAUAGUACCAUAAACAGAGUGGCCCCAGCAGGCCCCAAACUGCAGGCUCCCCUGCAGGUUGGAGAACCCAGGAAAAAGGUAUGGAGACUAGUUGGAGGAAUAUAACUAGAACUCCUAAAGCAGUAGGGACACAGGGUGCCCCAGAUGUGCUACAGUUUCCAAGGUCAUUGUGGUGAGCCAUGGCACGGUAACCUAGAGUCAACUGAAGACAAGGAAACCCACUCGAAACCUGUUGCAAUAGAACAAAUAAAAGGUGAAAAAAUCCUACAGAAGAACUAUAACUGAGAAGGAAAUAAAGAACCUAUAGACAAUCCAGAGGGCUAAAUACACUCAUCCACUUUGAUUUAAUUCCCAUCCAAGGAAAUCUUUCCUAAGGAAAUAGGGGUAUAAAUUGAGUGUUACAGACCAAGAGAUUCCUUACCAAAACCAAAAAUGAAACAAAAAAAUCCUUAAAGCAGUCUUAAUGUCCAACCACAGAGAAAAUAAAUUACAGCUAUCUACAUGCUCGUGUACCCAAGGAAUAUUUUAAAACCUGGCAAAACAUUCACAAUAUAAUGUUUUAAAAUGUAAGCUAUAAAACUGAAUCUGACAUAGCCCCAUUUAGAAAUUGUACAUAUUUACAGGUUUACAUUUGUAAAGCAUCUGCAUCGGUCUCUAUCAAGGUAACAGCAGUCAUUAUGAGAUUUCCAAGGUAAAAAAAAAAAAAAAUCAGAAAAUGGGUUUACCAUCUUGGAGAAGGUGGCAGAACAGAAGGAGUGGCCACAGAGGAAAGGACAGGAACCAGGAGCCAAGAGGUAAGGGCCAAGGGCUACAGGCCUCUCUGGAUUUGAUGAACAGAAGUUGCUGGUGUCUUAAGACUGAUACAUGAGUUCUAGAGCACUGGCAGCACAUAGGCAGCAAAGGGAGUGAAAGGGACAAGAGCUUUCCAUGGAGUUCCCCACAGUGCCCACUGACAAGGAGAGGCCAUGGAAGGCAUGCCUGUGAAUGAUGAGGCAUAGGUCUACCAGAAGUCUGCCAAGAGGGAGGGCUGCUUCCAUUCCUUGGCACUUGUUUUUCUAAACUUAAAAUUCAAAAUAAUGUGAAAACCUCAUGGCAGUUCUUUAAUUUUAUAUUGCUUACACAUUAAAUGGCCACCUGUGUAUAGCUCCUAGCACUUCUGAUUCAGCACCUGAUUCAGCACCUGAAAAUGUACUCAAUACUGCUUACUACACUUAGAAAACCAGGAUGGGUUAUAAGAUGGGAUUUUAUGAAACCCCACAAAGGGCCACCUUGGAUGAGUAUGUUCGAAUGGAAAAGAGAGGAAAUGCAUAAAAGGUAGUUAAAUUUUUAAGCUCACAUAAGCAAAAGGAAUUUAAAAAGGAUGAAGGCUGACUUCCUGCAAAACAAAGUCUUAUUAAGAACUGAAAAUCUGAACUUCAGAGCAGUAUUUCAAAGACUUUUCAGUGUUGGUAUUUUGUUUGCUUUUGGUUUUCAUCUUAGGAGGAUUUGUCAAUUACUGAGAUCCUCCCUAGAGAUUUUUUUCCCUUCAAAGCCACUGUAGGAGUUCCCAUUGUAGCUCAGCAGUAAUGAAUCCGACUAGUAUCCAUGAGGAUGGAUCCCUGGCGCCACUCAGUGGGUUAAGGAUCCAGCAUUGCCAUGAGUUGUUGUGUAAGUCACAGAUACAGCUUGGAUCCUGAUUUGACCCCUAGCUGGGAAACUUCCAUAUGCUGUGGGUGCAGCCCUAAAAACACCAGAAAAAAAGCCAUUUUAAAAAUCAUUCUAGGAGUUCCCGUUGUGGCGCAGUGGUUAAUGAGUCUGACUAGGAACCAUGGGGUUGCGGGUUUGAUCUCUGGCCUCGCUCAGUGGGUUAAGGAUCCGGUGUUGCCGUGAGCUGUGGUGUAGGUCGCAGACGUGGCUCGGAUCCCGUGUUGCUGUGGCUCUGGUGUAGGCCGGCAGCUACAGCUCCGAUUAGACCCCUAGCCUGGGACUCUCCAUAUGCCGCAGGAAGCAGCCCUAGAAAAGGCAAAAG
Molecule: long non-coding RNA, 6536 nt
Filed under: Sus scrofa (pig)
Lineage: Eukaryota; Metazoa; Chordata; Mammalia; Artiodactyla; Suidae
Description: lncRNA (ENSSSCG00000054621.1)
Source: RNAcentral